Molecule: ribosomal RNA, 239 nt
Filed under: uncultured bacterium
Lineage: Bacteria
Description: partial 16S ribosomal RNA
Rfam family: Bacterial small subunit ribosomal RNA
Source: RNAcentral
AGCGAACGCUGGCGGCAGGCUUAACACAUGCAAGCCGAGCGGGCGUAGCAAUACGUCAGCGGCAGACGGGUGAGUAACACGUGGGAACGUACCUUUUGGUUCGGAACAACACAGGGAAACUUGUGCUAAUACCGAAUAAGCCCUUACCGGGGAAAGGAUUAUCGCCGAAAGAUCGGCCCGCGUCUGAUUAGCUUGUUGGUGAGGUAACGGCUCACCAAGGCGACGAUCAGUAGCUGGUC